Molecule: long non-coding RNA, 659 nt
Filed under: Parus major (Great Tit)
Lineage: Eukaryota; Metazoa; Chordata; Aves; Passeriformes; Paridae
Description: lncRNA (ENSPMJG00000006184.1)
Source: RNAcentral
AUGAGGAUUCCUCCUCCUGCCCUGGGGACUCCUUGUCCCUCUCUGACAGCUCAGAGGCAGCAGCUGGGCCAUCACUGCCCUGGGAGGAGUGUCCAGAGGGGUGUCCAGAGUGUCCAGAGUGUCCAGAGGAGUGUCCAGAGGGGUGUCCAGAGUGUCCAGAGUGUCCAGAGUGUUCAGGGUGUCCAGAGGAGUGUCCAGAGUGUUCAGUGUGUCCAGAGUGUCCAGAGGGGUGUCCAGAGUGUCCAGAGUGUCCAGAGGGGUGUCCAGAGUGUCCAGAGGGGUGUCCAGAGGGGUGUCCAUCCUUCCCAGCCGUGCUCCAGGGCUGCUCCAGCCCCUUUCCCAGCCCCUCCUCUGGAGCUGCCUGUGCUGGCUGUCCCCUGCUCCGGGGCCCUGGUGCCUCCUGCUCGGUGUCCCUGUCCCCCCUGGCCAGCGGCUCCCCAGACAGGGAGCUCGGGGAAGCGGCUCCGGGAUCCGCGUGUCCCACGGACUGGGAGUGCUGGGAUGGACUGGGAAGGGCUGGGCCCCUCAGGGCUGCGCUCCCAGCGAUGUGGGAAGGCUCUGAUGGCUCCAGGGAUGCUCCAGAAACAUCCGGGAUUCCUCUGGAAAGGGCAAGAAAAGUGAAUUUCUGAUCAUUUCUCUGAUUUCAACAUCUCUGCCUU